Molecule: ribosomal RNA, 488 nt
Filed under: uncultured bacterium
Lineage: Bacteria
Description: partial 16S ribosomal RNA
Rfam family: Bacterial small subunit ribosomal RNA
Source: RNAcentral
UGAACGCUGGCGGCAGGCCUAACACAUGCAAGUCGAACGGUAACAGGAAGAAGCUUGCUUCUUUGCUGACGAGUGGCGGACGGGUGAGUAAUGUCUGGGAAACUGCCUGAUGGAGGGGGAUAACUACUGGAAACGGUAGCUAAUACCGCAUAACGUCGCAAGACCAAAAAGGGGGACCUUCGGGCCUCUUGCCAUCGGAUGUGCCCAGAUGGGAUUAGCUAGUAGGUGGGGUAACGGCUCACCUAGGCGACGAUCCCUAGCUGGUCUGAGAGGAUGACCAGCCACACUGGAACUGAGACACGGUCCAGACUCCUACGGGAGGCAGCAGUGGGGACUCUUGCCCCCUGGGCGCCCGCCUGCUGCCGCCCUGCCGCGUGUAUGAAGAAGGCCUUCGGGUUGUAAAGUACUUUCAGCGGGGAGGAAGGGAGUAAAGUUAAUACCUUUGCUCAUUGACGUUACCCGCCGAAGAAGCACCGGCUCACUCCGUG